GUUGAAAGGUCACGGCAUAGGAUGGUUCUGCGGCGUAUCAGGUCGUAGGGGGUGUAACGGACCUCCUAGCCAUCGACGCGUACGGGUUGUGGGAGCAAUAGCCCGGAGAUGGAUUCUGAGACACGAAUCCAGACCCUACGGGGUGCAGCAGGCGCGAAAACUUCACACUGCAGGAAACUGUGAUGAGGGAACUCCAAGUGACUGCACAUUGUGUAGCCUUUUCUUUACUAUUAAUCGGUAUUGGAAUAAGGGCUGGGAAAGACCGGUGCCAGCCGCCGCGGUAAUACCGGCAGCUCAAGUGGUCGUCGCUUUUAUUGGGCCUAAAACGUCCGUAGCCUGUUUGGUAAAUCUGUGGGUAAAUCAACCAGCUUAACUGGUUGAAUUCUGCAGAGACUGCCAGACUAGGGACCGGGAGAGGUGUGGGGUACUCUAGGGGUAGGGGUAAAAUCCUGUCAUCCUUAGAGGACCACCAGUUGCGAAGGCGCCACACUGGAACGGAUCCGACGGUCAGGGACGAAGCCUAGGGGCACGAACCGGAUUAGAUACCCGGGUAGUCCUAGGUGUAAACGCUGUGAACUUGGUGUCGGGAGUCCGCAAUGGGCCCCCGGUGCCGGAGUGAAGAUGUUAAGUUCACUGCCUGGGGAGUACGGUCGCAAGGCUGAAACUUAAAGGAAUUGGCGGGGGAGCACUGCAACGGGAGGAGCGUGCGGUUUAAUUGGACUCAAC
RNAcentral lists this ribosomal RNA (726 nucleotides) under uncultured Candidatus Poseidoniales archaeon. RNAcentral describes it as "bacterial SSU rRNA". It matches the Rfam family "Archaeal small subunit ribosomal RNA", at positions 185 to 916 of the family's 1478-position model. Lineage: Archaea; Methanobacteriati; Thermoplasmatota; Candidatus Poseidoniia; Candidatus Poseidoniales. The record is from RNAcentral.